GAUGAACGCUAGCGAUAGGCUUAACACAUGCAAGUCGAGGGGCAGCACAAGGUAGCUUGCUAUCUGGGUGGCGACCGGCGCACGGGUGCGUAACGCGUAUGCAACUUGCCUAUACAGGAGGAUAACCCGUCGAAAGACGGACUAAUACUGCGUAUGCUCACAACUUGGCAUCAAGUGGUGAGGAAAGAAAUUCGGUAUAGGAUAGGCAUGCGUCCCAUUAGCUUGUUGGUGAGGUAACGGCUCACCAAGGCAACGAUGGGUAGGGGAACUGAGAGGUUUAUACCCCGCGAUGGUACUGAGACACGGACCAGACUCCUACGGGAGGCAGCGGUGAGGAAUAUUAGUCAAUGGGCGCGAGCCUGAACCAGCCAAGUCGCGUGAAGGAGGACUGUCUUAUGGAUUGUAAACUUCUUUUAUACGGGAAUAACAAGAGUAACGGGUGACUCCCUGCAUGUACCGGAUGAAUAAGCAUCGGCUAACUCCGUG
RNAcentral lists this ribosomal RNA (486 nucleotides) under uncultured bacterium. RNAcentral describes it as "partial 16S ribosomal RNA". It matches the Rfam family "Bacterial small subunit ribosomal RNA", at positions 28 to 507 of the family's 1533-position model. The record is from RNAcentral.